UAGCUCAGUCAGUUGAGCGUAGCGCUAACAACACUAAGGUCGCGGGUUCGAUUCCCGC
Molecule: transfer RNA, 58 nt
Filed under: Apaloderma vittatum (bar-tailed trogon)
Lineage: Eukaryota; Metazoa; Chordata; Aves; Trogoniformes; Trogonidae
Rfam family: tRNA
About the family: Transfer RNA (tRNA) molecules are approximately 80 nucleotides in length. Their secondary structure includes four short double-helical elements and three loops (D, anti-codon, and T loops).
Source: Rfam by way of RNAcentral